UAUAAGGUGCCUGAGAUUAAAGGGCUACCUUGAUGGGGUAGAUUACGGUGAAAGAACCCUUUAUAA
RNAcentral lists this transfer RNA (66 nucleotides) under Craspedonirmus immer. RNAcentral describes it as "tRNA-Ile". The record is from RNAcentral. Lineage: Eukaryota; Metazoa; Arthropoda; Insecta; Psocodea; Philopteridae.